CACGUAGGGCGCAAGCGUUGUCCGGAAUUAUUGGGCGUAAAGAGCUCGUAGGCGGACUGUCACGUCUGCUGUGAAAAGCUGGGGCUUAACCCUGGCCUUGCAGUGGAUACGGGCAGACUAGAGGUAGGUAGGGGAGAAUGGAAUUCCCGGUGUAGCGGUGAAAUGCGCAGAUAUCGGGAGGAACACCGGUGGCGAAAGCGGCUCACUGGACCGCAACUGACGCUGAGGCGCGAAAGCUAGGGGAGCAAACAGG
RNAcentral lists this ribosomal RNA (253 nucleotides) under uncultured bacterium. Its description in RNAcentral is "partial 16S ribosomal RNA". It matches the Rfam family "Bacterial small subunit ribosomal RNA", at positions 524 to 776 of the family's 1533-position model. The record is from RNAcentral.